This 440-nucleotide ribosomal RNA is filed under the name uncultured bacterium. RNAcentral's name for it is "partial 16S ribosomal RNA". It matches the Rfam family "Bacterial small subunit ribosomal RNA", at positions 338 to 795 of the family's 1533-position model. The record is from RNAcentral.
CCUACGGGCGGCAGCAGUGGGGGAUAUUGCACAAUGGGGGAAACCCUGAUGCAGCGACGCCGCGUGUGGGAAGACGGUCCUCUGGAUUGUAAACCACUGUCCCCAGGGACGAAAAUGACGGUACCUGGGGAGGAAGCUCCGGCUAACUACGUGCCAGCAGCCGCGGUAAUACGCAGGGAGCGAGCGUUGUCCGGAUUUACUGGGUGUAAAGGGAGCGUAGGCGGGGAAGCAAGUGCGGGGUAAAAAUUACGUGCUCAACUGGUAGGUGCACUCAAAACUGCAGUUGUUGAGUGAGCGAGAGGCAUGCGGAAUGCGUGGUGUAGCGGUGAAAUGCGUAGAUAUUACGAAGAACACCAGUGGCGAAGGCAGCCUGCUGGGCUUUUACUGACGCUGAGGCUCGAAAGUGUGGGGAGCAAACAGGAUUAGAUACCCUGGUAGUC